RNAcentral lists this non-coding RNA (199 nucleotides) under Cycloclasticus sp. symbiont of Bathymodiolus heckerae. RNAcentral also lists the same sequence under 1 other name. Lineage: Bacteria; Pseudomonadati; Pseudomonadota; Gammaproteobacteria; Thiotrichales; Piscirickettsiaceae. The record is from RNAcentral.
GAUAAUUCGCUCGCUUUUGGUUUUGAGUAGAUUACUCAAUUAAAGGGAAGUUGGUAAGACAUUGUUCAAACCCAACGCUGCCCCCGCAACGGUAUAUAAGAAAAGUGUAUCAACAGCCACUGUGUAAAACAUGGGAAGGCGAUACACCGGCAAACAGCCACUUAUGAGCCCGGAGACCUGCCACCAGCAAACCGGUACG